Molecule: ribosomal RNA, 424 nt
Filed under: Pinkfloydia harveii
Lineage: Eukaryota; Metazoa; Arthropoda; Arachnida; Araneae; Tetragnathidae
Description: SSU rRNA
Rfam family: Eukaryotic small subunit ribosomal RNA
Source: RNAcentral
GAAUGUUUCCAUUAAUCAAGAACGAAAGUUAGAGGUUCGAAGGCGAUCAGAUACCGCCCUAGUUCUAACCAUAAACGAUGCCAGCCAGCGAUCCGGCUGUGUUCCUCAAAUGACACGCCGGGCAGCUUCCGGGAAACCAAAGCUUUUGGGUUCCGGGGGGAGUAUGGUUGCAAAGCUGAAACUUAAAGGAAUUGACGGAAGCGCACACAAUGGAAUGGGGCCUGCGGCUUAAUUUGACUCAACACGGGACAACACACCCGGCCCGGACAUAGGAAGGAUUGACAGAUUGAGAGCUCUUUCUUGAUUCUAUGAUAGGUGGUGCACGGCCGUUUCUGGUUGGUGGAGUGAUUUGUCUGCUUUAUUGCGUUAACGAGCGAGACUCUAGCCUACUAAAUAGACGCUCCGAUCCUUCUGAGUCGGACGU